This 301-nucleotide ribosomal RNA is filed under the name uncultured bacterium. Its description in RNAcentral is "partial 16S ribosomal RNA". It matches the Rfam family "Bacterial small subunit ribosomal RNA", at positions 509 to 809 of the family's 1533-position model. The record is from RNAcentral.
CAGUAGCCGCGGUAAUACAGAGGGUGCAAGCGUUAAUCGGGUUUACUGGGCGUAAAGGGCGCGUAGGUGGUUAUGUAAGUGAGAUGUGAAAUCCCCGGGCUCAACCUGGGAACUGCAUCUUAUACUGCGUAGCUGGAGUGCAGUAGAGGGUAGUGGAAUUUCCGGUGUAGCGGUGAAAUGCGUAGAUAUCGGAAGGAACACCAGUGGCGAAGGCGGCUACCUGGACUGACACUGACACUGAGGCGCGAAAGCGUGGGGAGCAAACAGGAUUAGAUACCCCCGUAGUCCCUGUCUCUUAUAA